CUGCAGACACACCUAAAAAUGCCAUUGAUGAGCUCCCUGUUGAACAUGUCCUUUGAGGAUUGAGCUGGCAAUGGCAUGCAGCAUCUUGCUCCUUUCUGGUGGCCUUCACAAAACAAGUGCAUUGUUUUUUUUUUUUGAGAAUGGAACAAGUGCAUUGUUAAGGUACAGAGCCACCGAUGGGCCAAGCCUGGGCUAGCUCAACCCAAUCGCCAUGCUCAUGUAUUUUAUUUUAUCUUUUGCCUUUUCUUUGGAAGAAUUGCACGGGAGGUUUGGGCCUGGCCUUGGCCGUAGGUCUUUCUUCGUCUAAAGUUUUUUAAAAAUAUAUAUUGCUAAAAAUGAGAUGUGUUUAGGUACACCCUUCUCUCUCUCCGUCCCUUCCUUCCUCCAAGAAAGGACACUUUUCUCCAAAUUAAACUUUCAAAUGCAUUAAGUAUCAUUUCCCUCACCUGAACAUUCAAAUGCACCUUAACAAGUGUGUGUUGUACUUACAUGGGUUGAAUAUAAGUUUUGUUCCGUUAUCUGAUGAUUGUGGAUACCGGUCGAAAGACCGUUUGGAAAAGAAAAAAAAAAGUUUGCCUCAAUGAAGGUUGUUGAGGCGAUAGAAGAUC
This 608-nucleotide long non-coding RNA is filed under the name Brachypodium distachyon (stiff brome). RNAcentral's name for it is "long non-coding RNA (BDIS_LNC001940)". Lineage: Eukaryota; Viridiplantae; Streptophyta; Magnoliopsida; Poales; Poaceae. The record is from RNAcentral.